This 225-nucleotide non-coding RNA is filed under the name Staphylococcus microti. RNAcentral's name for it is "partial 16S ribosomal RNA". It matches the Rfam family "Bacterial small subunit ribosomal RNA", at positions 719 to 942 of the family's 1533-position model. Lineage: Bacteria; Bacillati; Bacillota; Bacilli; Caryophanales; Staphylococcaceae. The record is from RNAcentral.
AGGCGGCUUUCUGGUCUGCAACUGACGCUGAUGUGCGAAAGCGUGGGGAUCAAACAGGAUUAGAUACCCUGGUAGUCCACGCCGUAAACGAUGAGUGCUAAGUGUUAGGGGGUUUCCGCCCCUUAGUGCUGCAGCUAACGCAUUAAGCACUCCGCCUGGGGAGUACGGUCGCAAGACUGAAACUCAAAGGAAUUGACGGGGACCCGCACAAGCGGUGGAGCAUGU